Molecule: ribosomal RNA, 413 nt
Filed under: uncultured bacterium
Lineage: Bacteria
Description: bacterial SSU rRNA
Rfam family: Bacterial small subunit ribosomal RNA
Source: RNAcentral
GUGCCAGCAGCCGCGGUAAUACGAAGGGUGCAAGCGUUACUCGGAAUUACUGGGCGUAAAGCGUGCGUAGGUGGUUCGUUAAGUCCGAUGUGAAAGCCCUGGGCUCAACCUGGGAAUGGCAUUGGAUACUGGCGACCUAGAGUGCGGUAGAGGGGUGUGGAAUUCCCGGUGUAGAGGUGAAAUUCGUAGAUAUCGGGAGGAACACCAGUGGCGAAGGCGGCGACCUGGGCCAAUAUUGACGCUGAGGCUCGAAAGCGUGGGGAGCAAACAGGAUUAGAUACCCUGGUAGUCCACGCCCUAAACGAUGCGAACUGGAUGUUGGGUGCAACUUGGCACUCAGUAUCGAAGCUAACGCGUUAAGUUCGCCGCCUGGGGAGUACGGUCGCAAGACUGAAACUCAAAGGAAUUGACGG